This 677-nucleotide ribosomal RNA is filed under the name Curtobacterium flaccumfaciens. RNAcentral's name for it is "bacterial SSU rRNA". It matches the Rfam family "Bacterial small subunit ribosomal RNA", at positions 76 to 763 of the family's 1533-position model. The record is from RNAcentral. Lineage: Bacteria; Bacillati; Actinomycetota; Actinomycetes; Micrococcales; Microbacteriaceae.
CAGCUCGCUGGGUGGAUUAGUGGCGAACGGGUGAGUAACACGUGAGUAACCUGCCCCUGACUCUGGGAUAAGCGUUGGAAACGACGUCUAAUACUGGAUAUGAUCACUGGCCGCAUGGUCUGGUGGUGGAAAGAUUUUUUGGUUGGGGAUGGACUCGCGGCCUAUCAGCUUGUUGGUGAGGUAAUGGCUCACCAAGGCGACGACGGGUAGCCGGCCUGAGAGGGUGACCGGCCACACUGGGACUGAGACACGGCCCAGACUCCUACGGGAGGCAGCAGUGGGGAAUAUUGCACAAUGGGCGAAAGCCUGAUGCAGCAACGCCGCGUGAGGGAUGACGGCCUUCGGGUUGUAAACCUCUUUUAGUAGGGAAGAAGCGAAAGUGACGGUACCUGCAGAAAAAGCACCGGCUAACUACGUGCCAGCAGCCGCGGUAAUACGUAGGGUGCAAGCGUUGUCCGGAAUUAUUGGGCGUAAAGAGCUCGUAGGCGGUUUGUCGCGUCUGCUGUGAAAUCCCGAGGCUCAACCUCGGGCUUGCAGUGGGUACGGGCAGACUAGAGUGCGGUAGGGGAGAUUGGAAUUCCUGGUGUAGCGGUGGAAUGCGCCAGAUAUCAGGAGGAACACCGAUGGCGAAGGCAGAUCUCUGGGGCCCGUAACUGACGCUGAGGAGCGAAAGCAUG